RNAcentral lists this long non-coding RNA (706 nucleotides) under Ictidomys tridecemlineatus (thirteen-lined ground squirrel). RNAcentral describes it as "lncRNA (ENSSTOG00000029917.1)". The record is from RNAcentral. Lineage: Eukaryota; Metazoa; Chordata; Mammalia; Rodentia; Sciuridae.
CCCUCUUCCAUGACUGGUUCUCCUGAGCAGUGGCAGGAAAAUCCUGGAACUGGAAGAAGCUGGAGCCGCUUCCAGGAUGGGUGACCAGGGCCACCCCAGUGUCCCUGGCCAGUCCCCACCUCCAGGUGCCGGGAUGCAGCCAGCACUUGCCUACAUCUCAGCCAGGGCCUCCGGAAGUUGCAGAGGCUGACCUUGAACUCGCGCCCUUCUGUUCCAGCCUCCUGAGCCACUGGGAAGUGUGCACUUUCUUUUUUUUUUUUUUUUUUUUUAACAUUUAUUUAUUUAUUUUUUUCUUAGUUCUUGGCGGACACAACAUCUUUGUUGGUAUGUGGUGCUGCUGAGGAUCGAACCCGGGCCGCACGCAUGCUAGGCGAGCGCGCUACCGCUUGAGCCACAUCCCCAGCCCCGAAGUGUGCACUUUCAAUGGGUAAGUGUUACGUGUGAAUUUUAUCUCAGUAAGGCCUAGCUGGGCGCGUGGUGCCCGGUUCAUCCCAGCGGCUCUCAAGAUACGACAUGAAGGAUGGGGCGCAGCUCAGGGUAGGGCGGCUCUGCUUCAGUCCCCAGCGCCACAAACAUUAAGAAAAAGAAAACCUGCAGGGGCUCCCCACUGUCCUGGGGCUCAGCCUCCCCAACGCCUGGGCACACCGCCACUGCUCUCCCCCUGCGGGUCUGCAGGCGCCAGUUUCUUCCUCUUUUCACGCCUGCC